AGGGAGAGAAACAUCAAUGUGUGGUUGUCUCUCACAUGCCCCCUACUGGGGACCUGGCCUACAACCCAGGCAUGUGCCCUGACUGGGAACCGAACCGGUAGCCUUUAGGUUUGCAGGCUGGAACUCAAUUCCCUGAGCCACACCAGCCC
Phyllostomus discolor (pale spear-nosed bat) is the source of this 149-nucleotide long non-coding RNA. RefSeq lists it as uncharacterized. The record is from RefSeq and is a predicted model, not a curated record. The transcript has 3 exons. NCBI's taxonomy places the organism in Eukaryota, Metazoa, Chordata, Mammalia, Chiroptera, Phyllostomidae.